Molecule: small nucleolar RNA, 108 nt
Filed under: Gossypium hirsutum (cotton)
Lineage: Eukaryota; Viridiplantae; Streptophyta; Magnoliopsida; Malvales; Malvaceae
Description: Plant small nucleolar RNA R71
Rfam family: Plant small nucleolar RNA R71
About the family: R71 is a member of the C/D box family of snoRNAs containing the C (UGAUGA) and D (CUGA) box motifs. Multiple nearly identical copies of this snoRNA have been identified in Arabidopsis, and it is thought to function as a 2'-O-ribose methylation guide for 18S ribosomal RNA.
Source: Rfam by way of RNAcentral
AAUCUGUGGUGCUGGCAUUUUUUGAAUCAACAUUUUGAAAUGUUCCUACGCCUCAUAAAAACUUUCUCCCUACAUCUGUCUAAAGAUAGCAAUAUCUCUUCCUAGUUG